CAGUCGAGCGGUAUAUAUUGGAACGAUAUUUCGAUUGAGUGAAGAUAUCCAUGCGGCGGACGGGUGAGUAACGCGUAGGCAACCUGCCCCAUACAGAGGGAUAGCCUCGGGAAACCGGGAUUAAAACCUCAUAACGCCAAGAGUUCACAUGGGCUUUUGGCCAAAGAUUUAUCGGUAUGGGAUGGGCCUGCGUCUGAUUAGCUAGUUGGUGGGGUAACGGCCUACCAAGGCAACGAUCAGUAGCCGACCUGAGAGGGUAAUCGGCCACAUUGGAACUGAGACACGGUCCAAACUCCUACGGGAGGCAGCAGUGGGGAAUAUUGCACAAUGGGCGAAAGCCUGACCCAGCGACGCCGCGUGCGGGAUGAAGGCCUUCGGGUUGUAAACCGCUUUCAGCAGGGAAGAAGCGAAAGUGACGGUACCUGCAAAAGAAGCACCGGCUAACUACGUGCCAGCAGCCGCGGUAAUACGUAGGGUGCAAGCGUUGUCCGGAAUUAUUGGGCGUAAAGAGCUCGUAGGCGGUUUGCUACGUCGGAUGUGAAACCCUGAGGCUCAACCUCAGGCCUGCAUACGAUACGGGCUAACUAGAGUGUGGUAGGGGAGACUGGAAUUCCUGGUGUAGCGGUGAAAUGCGCAGAUAUCAGGAGGAACACCGGUGGCGAAGGCGGGUCUCUGGGCCAUUACUGACGCUGAGGAGCGAAAGCGUGGGGAGCAAACAGGAUUAGAUACCCUGGUAGUCCACGCCGUAAACGGUGGGCACUAGGUGUGGGACCCUUCCACGGGUUCUGCGCCGCAGCUAACGCAUUAAGUGCCCUGCCUGGGGAGUACGG
This 830-nucleotide ribosomal RNA is filed under the name uncultured bacterium. RNAcentral describes it as "bacterial SSU rRNA". It matches the Rfam family "Bacterial small subunit ribosomal RNA", at positions 59 to 885 of the family's 1533-position model. The record is from RNAcentral.